CCUACGGGAGGCAGCAGUGAGGAAUAUUGGUCAAUGGGCGCGAGCCUGAACCAGCCAAGUCGCGUGAGGGAGGACGGCCCUACGGGUUGUAAACCUCUUUUGCCGGGGAGCAACGGGCGUCACGUGUGGCGCCACUGAGAGUACCCGGAGAAAAAGCAUCGGCUAACUCCGUGCCAGCAGCCGCGGUAAUACGGGGGAUGCGAGCGUUAUCCGGAUUUAUUGGGUUUAAGGGGUGCGUAGGCGGAUCGUUAAGUCAGUGGUCAAAUUGAGGGGCUCAACCCCUUCCCGCCAUUGAAACUGGCGUUCUUGAGUGGAAGAGAGGUAGGCGGAAUGCGUGGUGUAGCGGUGAAAUGCAUAGAGAUCACGCAGAACACCGAUGGCGAAGGCAGCAUGCCGGCUUCCGACUGACGCUGAAGCACGAAAGCGUGGGGAUCGAACAGGAUUAGAUACCCCUGUAGUC
This 460-nucleotide ribosomal RNA is filed under the name uncultured bacterium. Its description in RNAcentral is "partial 16S ribosomal RNA". It matches the Rfam family "Bacterial small subunit ribosomal RNA", at positions 338 to 795 of the family's 1533-position model. The record is from RNAcentral.